CGGGUGAGUAAUGCAUCGGAACAUGUCCAUUUGUGGGGGAUAGCCCGGCGAAAGCCGGAUUAAUACCGCAUACGCCCUGAGGGGGAAAGCGGGGGACUUCGCAAGAGGCCUCGCGCGAAUGGGUUGGCCGAUGUCCGAUUAGCUAGUUGGCGGGGUAAUGGCCCACCAAGGCGACGAUCGGUAGCUGGUCUGAGAGGACGACCAGCCACACUGGAACUGAGACACGGUCCAG
This 232-nucleotide ribosomal RNA is filed under the name uncultured bacterium. RNAcentral's name for it is "partial 16S ribosomal RNA". It matches the Rfam family "Bacterial small subunit ribosomal RNA", at positions 103 to 334 of the family's 1533-position model. The record is from RNAcentral.